UGGGCUUGACAUGUUCCUGACCUCCCUGGAAACAGGGCUUCCCUUCGGGGCAGGAUCAC
RNAcentral lists this ribosomal RNA (59 nucleotides) under uncultured organism. Its description in RNAcentral is "partial 16S ribosomal RNA". The record is from RNAcentral.